GGUUGUGGCUCAGUGGUAGAGUACUUGCCUAUUCACAUGUGAAGUCCUGGGUUCAAUCCUCAGCACCA
Molecule: transfer RNA, 68 nt
Filed under: Marmota monax (woodchuck)
Lineage: Eukaryota; Metazoa; Chordata; Mammalia; Rodentia; Sciuridae
Description: tRNA.Undet
Source: RNAcentral